Molecule: RNA transcript, 3145 nt
Organism: Peromyscus californicus insignis
Lineage: Eukaryota; Metazoa; Chordata; Mammalia; Rodentia; Cricetidae
Gene name: cytochrome c oxidase assembly factor 8
Exons: 6
Source: RefSeq, a predicted model, not a curated record
AUGGCGGCCUUGCGGCCCGGAAGCAAAGCGCUUCGCCCGCCUCUCUGCCGUUCCUUCUCCGGCGGCGUUGGUCGGCUGGCCCGUGAACGCGGUACGGAGCGCAGGGAUGCUGCGUCCAGCCGGGUCUCAAGAUUCUGCCCUCCAAGACAGUCUUGCCAUGAUUGGAUAGGACCCCCAGAUAAAUAUUCAAACCUUCGUCCGGUUCAUUUUCAUAUUCCUGAAAACGAGUCCCCCUUGGAACAAAGGCUUAGAGAAUUGAGACAAGAAACACAAGAAUGGAACCAGCAGUUCUGGGCGAACCAGAAUUUGAGUUUUAACAAGGAAAAAGAAGAAUUCAUUUGCUCAAGACUGCAAGCUAAAGGCUCAGUCCUGCGAACCAAGUCAGGUCAAAGAGCAGCAUUGGAUGCAGAGGAAAUGGCUGACUUUUAUAAGGAGUUUCUGAGUAAGAAUUUUCAGAAGCACAUGUGUUAUAACCGAGACUGGUACAAGCGUAAUUUUACCAUCACGUUCUUCAUGGGGAAAGUGGCGCUGGAGAGGAUGUGGAGCAAACUGAGACAGAAGCAGAAGACGAGCAGUUAGGAGCCCGCCUGGGUCUGCCCUGCCAGCACCCAGCUUCCAUUUAUGAGGGCCCUGGAAGCUGUAAACAGCCUCUGCCACAUGCUCCUUGACGUGAGGUGGCCCUUCCCCAGCAACGCAAAGCCCGUGGCCAAGUGACCUGAACUGUGAGACCGUUCCCUUUCCUCCUCUACGUUAAUGUCUCCAGGAGUUUGUCAGCAGCAAGAAGCUAAUGCUGUCGUCCUGUGUGCUGCUACUGAUGGGCCUUGAAACCCUGUGCAGACCCCACACCACCAGUGCUUUGACCGUUUGCCCCAGAACUGUCGCUCUGAAACGGGGGUAUCGCCAUUGUUGGACGGAUGGCCCCUCAGUGGGUGGUGCGGUGACCAGUCCAAGUGGGUACGCCGUGUGAGGGCGGCACCGUCCUCCGGGCUCGGGAAGCCAGCUGCUUGUUCAGGAAGAGAAACUAAAGCAGGCUUGAGUCAGGUAGGCAGGUAGCUUAGAGCCUUUGGAAGCAGAUUCCCAGGCCCUACAUCCAGGCCAGGGCUGUGCCACGCGCCCAAGCAUCACGUCAGCAGCUCCCUCUGGAGAAACCGCUGCCUUCAUGCAGAUGGCGGCCCUUGUCAGGUCCUCACCUGGUCCUAACUACAAGCACAGGACUCAGCAAGAGGUGACAGGGACAUGAGACUCAUUACCCCAGCAUCUCAGGUUGAAGGCCAAAGCUACCAUCCCCUCCUCCUUUUAAUAGUUGUUUGUUAGUGUGUGUGUGUGUGUGUGUGUGGUGAAUGAGUGUGUGGUGAAAGUGUAUGUGUGUGGUGAGUGUGCGGUGAGAAUGUGUGUGUGUGUGGUGUGACUGUGGUGUGUGUGAGUGUGUGUGUGUGGUGUGACUGUGGUGUGUGUGAGUGUGUGUGUGUGGUGAGUGUAUGUGUGGUGAGAGUGUGUGUGUGUAUAGUGUAUGUGUGAGUAUGCAUGUGUGAGUGUGUGUGGGUGUGUGUGGUGUGUGUUUGUGUGUGUGUGGUGAGAGUGUAUGUGUGUGUGUGAGUGUGUGUGUGUGGUGAGAGUGUAUGUGUGUGUGUGAGUGUGUGUGUGUGGUGAGAGUGUGUGUGUGUAUGUGUGUGUGUGGUGAGAGUGUAUGUGUGUGUGUGUGAGUGUGUGGUGUGUGUGUGUGAGUGUGUGUGGUGAGUGUGUGUGUGGUGAGAGUGUGUGUGUGAGUGUGUGUGGUGAGAGUGUAUGUGUGUGUGUGUGUGUGUGUGUGUGGUGAGUGUGUGUGUGUGUGGUGAGAGUGUAUGUGUGUGUGUGUGUGUGUGGUGAGUGUGUGUGUGUGUGGUGAGAGUAUAUGUGUGUGUGUGGUGAGAGUGUGUGUGUGUGUGUGUGUGUGUGUGUGUGUGUGUGUGUUUAACCAAACAGCUCUCAGUUGCUCUCCCGAGAUUGAGCUCUGGUUAGCAGGUUGUGGUGAGAACCUCCACCUGCUGAGGAGCCGACACCCUGGACUGAGGGCCGCUGCUGUCUGAAGAGUGGCCUCACGUGAGCCAGACAGCAAGCCUAAGCUAAUCCGUUACCACGGCCGGCAGAUGGCCUCUCUCCUCUGCAUUGGACCUUGUGGUGGCGGUAGCAUGAAGCUUAGAAGCAGCCCCUUUCACAGAGGACCAAGGCUGUCGGGAAGGCAUCGCUCAGCCUUGACCUUGGGAUCUGACCCAGAACAGGGAGCAGACCCUUGAGGUGUGUGUGUGACAGUCACUCUGGUCUCACUCUUCACUUUCCUGUCACGGUGGUGUGCGCUCCCUGCAGUGCCCUGUCCUCCCCCGUGGGGUGUGAACCCGUGAAAGCCUGAGCGGGAAGAAAUCGUUUUUGUCAGAUGUUCUCACAGUUAUGUAAGAGGAGCAGACGCGAACACGUGCUCUUCCUCAGGCCGAGGCCCGGCUGGCUUUGUGAGGAAAGUUGUUAGUCCAAGAACCGUGGAGCAGGAGUUUGUGCGAAGGGUACACACUAGUGCCCCUGUGGUGGUCUCCUGAGAUUGUCCUGGUGUGGGCCAUGAGACAAGUUCAGCUUGAUCCUAGAAGUGCACUGAGUGCAUGACAAGAAACGCUACACAGUUGGGUGGUGGCGCACGCCUUUAAUCCCAGCACUCGGGAGGUAGAGCUAGCAGAUCUCUGUGAGUUUGAGGGCAGCCUGGACUACCAAGUGAGUUCCAAGGACAGCCAGAGCUAUUAUACAGAGAAAUCCUGUCUCAAAAAACCAAAUAAAUAAAUAAAUAAUAAAAUAAAAUAAUAAUAAUAAAACAAAAAAAAUAGAAAGAAAGAAACUUAGGGUCUGGCCUCAAACUCACAGAGAUCCUCCUGCCUCUGCCUCCUGAGUGCUGGGAUUAAAGGCGUGCGCCACCACCGCUCGGCUAGAGAGUGUAUCAAAUGUAGACCAGGCCGGCCUCUAACUCACAGAAGUCCUUCUGUCUCUGCCUCCUGAGAUCACAAAUACUUGCAAAAUAAAUUGUAAUUGCAGUUAUUUUGACUAUAAAAUUUGUUUUGUUUUUUAAAAGUCAUACCAAGGUGAGUCUCUUGCAUAGCCACAUUCUAAUAAAGUAUUACUGUAGAGA